GACAUGACGUGUGGCUGUCGUAAAAACCCUAUUUGUAAACAACCAGUCCUUUAACUCGGGGCUGCGUCAUAAACACGGAGCGCUUGGAAGACCACGAUGUCAUCUUCCUUCUGUCAGGAGGAUCAAAGUGAAGCUACAGGAGUUUCAUUAACGUCAACAACUUGGACCGAACACUUUGUUUUGCUUGAUGAAGAGCAGGAAGGGCAGCCUGGAGAGAAAGAGAGGCCGGGUUGAGCCCACUACCAUCAUCCACGUACCACGAGGAAGAUGAGGGAGAGAAAUUAUCCUACCAUUAAAGAGACUGUGAAAAGAACGUUGAGAACAUCACCACUCUACAGGAAGACACAGUCCAGUAAUGGGUGUCAGAAGUUCAGUAGUGAACGACAGGUACUGUGGAAAAAUGUGUGUCAUUGUUGUACAAUGUCCUUUGACUCUGUUUAAACAAGGUCAACACAAAAAGGUUUGAUUGUAAACUGAUAUCGGUACGAAUUCAUGUUAUUCUCCUCCUCAAAAGAAACAAACAAUCAAAAUUACCUGCAGAAAGCCCUUGAUGGACGCUUCAGCUGCAUCGUCAGACUGGUGAGACAGCAAGAUGCCAACUUUAAUGCCAAUUUAUUUGUGUAACAUUCUGUGACCAAAUGUAUAGAUAACUUUUUGUAGAUUGUAAAAAUAGAUAACCCAUUUAUUACAAAAAAACUACACUAGAAUUACCGCACUGCGUUGUAUGACUCCGCUAAGCAGUGCAGUGUCCGUCUACAUAUUUUCUCUCAUAUAAAUGACACUGUAUCUCUUGACAACUGAAACCAUAAGAUGAGGUCAGUGUGGCCUUGACCUUUUUACUUAGACUUCACCACUUAGACAACCAGACCUGUGUGCUUUGCAGUGACUAUAAAUGACUGGAACCUCAGA
Pleuronectes platessa (European plaice) is the source of this 909-nucleotide long non-coding RNA. RefSeq lists it as uncharacterized. The transcript is spliced from 3 exons. The record is from RefSeq and is a predicted model, not a curated record. Lineage: Eukaryota; Metazoa; Chordata; Actinopteri; Pleuronectiformes; Pleuronectidae.